UCAGGGGCUGGAUGUCAGGUGGUGAGCAGCGGAGGGAUAUUACCGAGUUUACACUCCCAAACCCAAUGUGAACGUUACCAAACUGUUGCCUCGGCGGGAUCUCUGCCCCGGGUGCGUCGCAGCCCCGGACCAAGGCGCCCGCCGGAGGACCAACCAAAACUCUUAUUGUAUACCCCCUCGCGGGUUUUUUUAUAAUCUGAGCCUUCUCGGCGCCUCUCGUAGGCGUUUCGAAAAUGAAUCAAAACUUUCAACAACGGAUCUCUUGGUUCUGGCAUCGAUGAAGAACGCAGCGAAAUGCGAUAAGUAAUGUGAAUUGCAGAAUUCAGUGAAUCAUCGAAUCUUUGAACGCACAUUGCGCCCGCCAGUAUUCUGGCGGGCAUGCCUGUCCGAGCGUCAUUUCAACCCUCGAACCCCUCCGGGGGGUCGGCGUUGGGGAUCGGCCCUGCCUUGGCGGUGGCCGUCUCCGAAAUACAGUGGCGGUCUCGCCGCAGCCUCUCCUGCGCAGUAGUUUGCACACUCGCAUCGGGAGCGCGGCGCGUCCACAGCCGUUAAACACCCAACUUCUGAAAUGUUGACCUCGGAUCAGGUAGGAAUACCCGCUGAACUUAAGCAUAUCAAUAAGCGGAGGAAAAGAAACCAACAGGGAUUGCCCGNUUAACGGCGGAGNAAAAUAAAAAUANAUNUUUUAGAACUUUUUAAAAGAGAUUAUUGUGUAUAAUUAUAUAUUUAUAUAGAUAAUAUUUUUAAUGUGAUAAGAUAAAUACAUUUGGAGUAUUCUUUGUUUUUAUUUUAAGGAAAAAGAGAGAAAAUGGGUUUUUCGAUAUUAAGAAUNUCUGAGUGCUAAGUGAAUUACCCUUUUAAUCUAGACGAUUGGGAAAAAUACCCUAUAAUGAUUUCGAACAACCGUAUGGUGAAUUGUAACUCGUAUNAUAAAAGAAGGGC
Molecule: small RNA, 942 nt
Filed under: Trichoderma lixii
Lineage: Eukaryota; Fungi; Ascomycota; Sordariomycetes; Hypocreales; Hypocreaceae
Description: eukaryotic LSU rRNA
Rfam family: 5.8S ribosomal RNA (bases 243-396)
Source: RNAcentral